Molecule: long non-coding RNA, 1133 nt
Filed under: Priapulus caudatus
Lineage: Eukaryota; Metazoa; Priapulida; Priapulimorpha; Priapulimorphida; Priapulidae
Description: uncharacterized LOC106819230, transcript variant X1
Source: RNAcentral
AAAUUCAGCGUGGAGCCGGUUUUGGUGAUCAGUAGGAAAAUGGACUGCUCGCAGGAUUUAUGUGUGUCGUCAUAAGUCAUGAUCGUGAUAAGUAAUGAUCCAUGAAUCAUUUCCGGAAGACCAUAAUGUGAUAGGCAAAGUAGCAUCGACCGUUCUGUGCUACAUGCAAUGCUUGUCAUUUUGCUGCAUUCCCAUAUAUAUAUAUAUAUAUAUAUAUAUAUAUAUAUAUAUAUAUAUAUACGUACGUACGUAUACUAAAAUAAGAUUACUAUAAGCGUUGCUCGGCAGCAGCAGAAAUCGUGUGUAUAGCGACAUAGAGCCGUCUAUUGGGGAAUUGUAUGGAAUCGCAGUCGCAAAGUACCUAACCGCCGUUAUAGGCGAGGAACUAUUGUAUAAUAGUCAAUCUCACAUACGCACGCAUGCACGCACGCAAUCACGGGUCUACAUAUUAGUCUAUGAACGUCUUUGUAUUUAUAUUUGUGUGCGUUCAUGGUUCGCUGCCUUGUUCCACAAGAGAAGAGAAAGCAAAUUACACUGCCAUACUGAAUUAAACGUUAUUAAAUAGAAAGCACUCAGGGAUUAAAGAUCUGUUACAUACUGCGGUUUUUUAUUGGGUAUAUACCAUAAUGGCUUGUGUUGUGUCUUGUGUGUCGUGAGUAUGCAUAUCUAAGUGCGCUAGUACACGCGUGCCUGCUCGCUCGCGUAUAUGCACGCGUGCGUGCUCGCUCACGUAGAUGCACGCGUGCCUGCUCGCUCGCGUAGAUGCACGCGUGCGUGCUCGCUCGCGUAUGUGCACGCGUGCCUGCUCGCUCGCGUAUGUGCACGCGUGCGUGCGGGAAGCUAACUGUUAAGUGUGAUACCGAGUAGGAGAGCUCGUGAAGAACUAACAGAGUCGUGGUGUGGUAAACGCUGAUCAUGGGUUAGACACAUGAGGAAGCUUCCAGCACGCUGUGUGAUUCGUCGUAGUGAGUACUAGUAGCAGACAACUAUAGGGAUAGCACGCCAUGCUGCGCGCAAUCAUGACCUGUGGCGCUCUCUGUCUCGUUUUGUGUGUAUGUGUGCGUGUGUUUGCACACACGUGUGUGCGCGCCCGCGAUUUCUAUUGAGUAAAUACAACGUAAUAUAUAUCUAUA